CCCCCUGUACUAUGAGAUAUCUGGUCUCUCUAGGUUCCCCCUGUACUAUGAGAUAUCUGGUCUCUCUAGGUUAAUACUGUAAUGUGGUGUCUCUCUCUAGGUUCCCCCUGUACUAUGAGAUAUCUGGUCUCUCUAGGUUCCCCCUGUACUAUGAGAUAUCUGGUCUCUCUAGGUUCCCCCUGUACUAUGAGAUAUCUGGUCUCUCUAGGUUCCCCCUGUACUAUGAGA
This is a non-coding RNA of Oncorhynchus mykiss (rainbow trout), 228 nucleotides long. NCBI's taxonomy places the organism in Eukaryota, Metazoa, Chordata, Actinopteri, Salmoniformes, Salmonidae. The record is from RefSeq and is a predicted model, not a curated record.